AAAAAGACAUACCCUGGGUUUUCGUAUCCAACGUUUGACUGUCGUCUUAUAUGAAAUUUUUUUAUAAUUAGUAUUUUCAUUGUUGUUAGAUGAUAAAACAUGAUUAAUACUUUAUGCGUGACUUGUCUUUUUAUUUUUUUUUUUUUUUUUUUUUCAUAUUUUUUUCAAAUAAGACGGACGGUCAAACGUUGGACAUGAAAACUCAGGGUUUGUCUUUUU
Molecule: microRNA precursor, 219 nt
Organism: Oryza rufipogon (brownbeard rice)
Lineage: Eukaryota; Viridiplantae; Streptophyta; Magnoliopsida; Poales; Poaceae
Rfam family: MIR812 microRNA precursor family
Source: Rfam